RNAcentral lists this ribosomal RNA (706 nucleotides) under uncultured Providencia sp. RNAcentral's name for it is "bacterial SSU rRNA". It matches the Rfam family "Bacterial small subunit ribosomal RNA", at positions 795 to 1502 of the family's 1533-position model. The record is from RNAcentral. Lineage: Bacteria; Pseudomonadati; Pseudomonadota; Gammaproteobacteria; Enterobacterales; Morganellaceae.
UCACGCUGUAAACGAUGUCGAUUUGGAGGUGUUCCCUUGAGGAGUGGCUUCCGGAGCUAACGCGUUAAAUCGACCGCUGGGGAGUACGGCCGCAAGGUUAAAACUCAAAUGAAUUGACGGGGGCCCGCACAAGCGGUGGAGCAUGUGGUUUAAUUCAAUGCAACGCGAAGAACCUUACCUACUCUUGACAUCCAGAGAAUUUAGCAGAGAUGCUUUAGUGCCUUCGGGAACUCUGAGACAGGUGCUGCAUGGCUGUCGUCAGCUCGUGUUGUGAAAUGUUGGGUUAAGUCCCGCAACGAGCGCAACCCUUAUCCUUUGUUGCCAGCACGUUAUGGUGGGAACUCAAAGGAGACUGCCGGUGAUAAACCGGAGGAAGGUGGGGAUGACGUCAAGUCAUCAUGGCCCUUACGAGUAGGGCUACACACGUGCUACAAUGGCGUAUACAAAGAGAAGCGACCUCGCGAGAGCAAGCGGAACUCAUAAAGUACGUCGUAGUCCGGAUUGGAGUCUGCAACUCGACUCCAUGAAGUCGGAAUCGCUAGUAAUCGUAGAUCAGAAUGCUACGGUGAAUACGUUCCCGGGCCUUGUACACACCGCCCGUCACACCAUGGGAGUGGGUUGCAAAAGAAGUAGGUAGCUUAACCUUCGGGAGGGCGCUUACCACUUUGUGAUUCAUGACUGGGGUGAAGUCGUAACAAGGUAACCA